RNAcentral lists this ribosomal RNA (968 nucleotides) under Salmonella enterica subsp. enterica serovar Newport. RNAcentral's name for it is "partial 16S ribosomal RNA". It matches the Rfam family "Bacterial small subunit ribosomal RNA", at positions 554 to 1522 of the family's 1533-position model. The record is from RNAcentral. RNAcentral also lists the same sequence under 2 other names. Lineage: Bacteria; Pseudomonadati; Pseudomonadota; Gammaproteobacteria; Enterobacterales; Enterobacteriaceae.
CUGGGCGUAAAGCGCACGCAGGCGGUCUGUCAAGUCGGAUGUGAAAUCCCCGGGCUCAACCUGGGAACUGCAUUCGAAACUGGCAGGCUUGAGUCUUGUAGAGGGGGGUAGAAUUCCAGGUGUAGCGGUGAAAUGCGUAGAGAUCUGGAGGAAUACCGGUGGCGAAGGCGGCCCCCUGGACAAAGACUGACGCUCAGGUGCGAAAGCGUGGGGAGCAAACAGGAUUAGAUACCCUGGUAGUCCACGCCGUAAACGAUGUCUACUUGGAGGUUGUGCCCUUGAGGCGUGGCUUCCGGAGCUAACGCGUUAAGUAGACCGCCUGGGGAGUACGGCCGCAAGGUUAAAACUCAAAUGAAUUGACGGGGGCCCGCACAAGCGGUGGAGCAUGUGGUUUAAUUCGAUGCAACGCGAAGAACCUUACCUGGUCUUGACAUCCACAGAACUUUCCAGAGAUGGAUUGGUGCCUUCGGGAACUGUGAGACAGGUGCUGCAUGGCUGUCGUCAGCUCGUGUUGUGAAAUGUUGGGUUAAGUCCCGCAACGAGCGCAACCCUUAUCCUUUGUUGCCAGCGGUCCGGCCGGGAACUCAAAGGAGACUGCCAGUGAUAAACUGGAGGAAGGUGGGGAUGACGUCAAGUCAUCAUGGCCCUUACGACCAGGGCUACACACGUGCUACAAUGGCGCAUACAAAGAGAAGCGACCUCGCGAGAGCAAGCGGACCUCAUAAAGUGCGUCGUAGUCCGGAUUGGAGUCUGCAACUCGACUCCAUGAAGUCGGAAUCGCUAGUAAUCGUGGAUCAGAAUGCCACGGUGAAUACGUUCCCGGGCCUUGUACACACCGCCCGUCACACCAUGGGAGUGGGUUGCAAAAGAAGUAGGUAGCUUAACCUUCGGGAGGGCGCUUACCACUUUGUGAUUCAUGACUGGGGUGAAGUCGUAACAAGGUAACCGUAGGGGAACCUGCGGUUGGA